AUGGCUCAGUGAGGCUUCCGGACUGGCCCAGAGAGGUCGGCAACGACCACUCAGGGCCGGAAAGUUAUCCAAACUCGGUCAUUUAGAGGAAGUAAAAGUCGUAACAAGGUCUCCGUUGGUGAACCAGCGGAGGGAUCAUUA
RNAcentral lists this ribosomal RNA (141 nucleotides) under Chaetomidium leptoderma. RNAcentral's name for it is "partial 18S ribosomal RNA". It matches the Rfam family "Eukaryotic small subunit ribosomal RNA", at positions 1693 to 1831 of the family's 1831-position model. The record is from RNAcentral. Lineage: Eukaryota; Fungi; Ascomycota; Sordariomycetes; Sordariales; Chaetomiaceae.